CCCCGAAUAGCUCAGCUGGAAGAGAGCUGUAAUUGUUAAGCAUCUCACCGAAAGGUCACUUGUUCGAUCCAGGUUUCGGGGA
Molecule: transfer RNA, 82 nt
Filed under: Fusarium odoratissimum
Lineage: Eukaryota; Fungi; Ascomycota; Sordariomycetes; Hypocreales; Nectriaceae
Description: tRNA-Und (NNN) (tRNA-Und-NNN-1-1)
Source: RNAcentral